Molecule: long non-coding RNA, 1348 nt
Organism: Crotalus tigris (Tiger rattlesnake)
Lineage: Eukaryota; Metazoa; Chordata; Lepidosauria; Squamata; Viperidae
Exons: 3
Source: RefSeq, a predicted model, not a curated record
AAAGUAUCCCGGGCGCACCGCCUGGAUGAACUCCGAGGAGGCGGCCGGGCGGCCAGGGCGCGCCGUCCCGGCUCCCUGCCUGGGUUGGCGAGGCGAGGCGAGGCGGCUGGAAAUCCCACAGACCUGGAACUAAAUUUCUGUUCACCGUGGCCAAGGAACAGGGAUUCUUGGUGGAUGCAGUUCUCUCUCUUGGUGGAUGCAAACCUGGUCCUUUUCAAGAUGGGAGUCUCCAAAACCUCUGACCCCCUCUAAUCCUGACCUUGAAAUUUCCUGCGAUCAGCUAAUCCUCAAAGGUAGACAUUCACCUCCCCUUGAAGGUGCUGGGAAAGAUGGCAGAGGGAAUUGCAGUUCUCCACACAAGCAAAUUUUUCUUUUCAAAUGAAAAGAAAAUCCCUCUGAAAGCACAUUUAACUACCAGCCACAGAACAGGAACCACCACCACCCAAAUCUGGGCUGCAUGGAUGCUGCACCCCAAAGGCCAUCGGGUUACGUGAAGCAAGUCCUGGGAACCAUCGAUGGUUGGGCCCUGGUUCUCCGAGGCUUUUUCCUCACCUGGGCUGAGAUUAGCAGCAGAAAUGCUGGAUCCGUCCCGAAAGAACAGAGCGAGCCAAGGAUGAGACCCUGCUCCAUGGGUCCUUUGAAAAAUGGUAGGAGAGUCGGGGCCCUCCAUCCUGAUCUGUUUGUCCCUUCUGGGACUCCGGCUGUCCACUGCUGGGGAGAGAAGGCUGGGAGGUGGAGGCAACCUUGACCUCCACAGAAGGCCCAUUCUCAGCUUCCUUGGGGACAAGAGCUGGGAGAAGCAGAAGGCAACCGGAUGGUGCCCACUGUCUUCUGAUGUCUUGGCAAGGCCUCUUCUCCCCACUUCGUUCCUGUGUUGGGGGCAAGAGGUCACCCCAUCCAGGGGGGGAGUUGCAGGCCCUGCUCCCAUCCUCUUCAGCCAUCUCCUCCUAACAUGUAUAGCGUAAUAACGCCCUGUGCAUAUAAAAUUCCUAAAUAGAUUUACAUAAUUUAUUGUGACUCUUUUGUGGUUUAUUUAAUGCUUGGCUGAUUCUUGCUCAGCUUAAUGCACUGCCACUGUGCGAGACGCACCGGGGAGGGUUUGUUUUACGGUUUUUAAUCAAGGCCUCCUCAACAUCUGCUUGCUGCAGUUGCUGAUGGGGAGUUCCAGGAGAGGGUGGGCGAGGGGAGAGAGGAUGUCAACACUCUGCCCACUGCCUGGCAGCCUUCCAGAUGCCUCCUUCAGUCCUGGACGUUCUGCAGCAAGCAAAGCAGCAACGGAGCCCCUCCCUGAGCAAAAGGCCCCAAUCCUGGUCUGUAUUCCUGGUUUCUAUAAAACUUUCCCCCUGGG